AAGAAGAAGGAGAAGAAGGAGAAGAAGAAGAAGAGGAAGAGAAGAAGUAGAAGUGGGUGAAGAGGCGGCACAUCUGUUUUCUACAGGAGGAAACAGAGGAGAGGAGGUGCUGUGCGUCGGGGAGAAGAAGGGGAGGAAGGAGAAGAAGAGAAGAAGAAGAAAGGAAGGAGAAGGAAGAGGAGAAGGGAAAGAAGUAGCAGCGGCUGCGGCUAUGGCAGCUGCAGCUGUGGCAAGAAAAGAGGGAGA
RNAcentral lists this long non-coding RNA (246 nucleotides) under Musa acuminata (dwarf banana). Its description in RNAcentral is "long non-coding RNA (MACU_LNC009085)". The record is from RNAcentral. Lineage: Eukaryota; Viridiplantae; Streptophyta; Magnoliopsida; Zingiberales; Musaceae.